This 203-nucleotide long non-coding RNA is filed under the name Sus scrofa (pig). Its description in RNAcentral is "lncRNA (ENSSSCG00025006581.1)". Lineage: Eukaryota; Metazoa; Chordata; Mammalia; Artiodactyla; Suidae. The record is from RNAcentral.
ACCGCCACUCCAGUGCGCAGGCGCCUGGCGGUUACCGGUCUCGCCAUGGAGCGGAAAGUGCUUGCGCUCCAGGCCCGAAAGAAAAGGACCAAGGCCAAGAAGGACAAAGCCCAAAGGAACUUCCUAUUAAGCAGCUGAAAUGUCUAAUUAAUUAACUUGGUUAGAGAGUACUAUGUCAGAAGUUCAAGCCCUGCCUGGCUCAG